This 682-nucleotide ribosomal RNA is filed under the name uncultured bacterium. Its description in RNAcentral is "bacterial SSU rRNA". It matches the Rfam family "Bacterial small subunit ribosomal RNA", at positions 112 to 780 of the family's 1533-position model. The record is from RNAcentral.
AACACGUGGGUAACCUGCCCAAGAGACUGGGAUAACACCUGGAAACAGAUGCUAAUACCGGAUAACAACACUAGACGCAUGUCUAGAGUUUGAAAGAUGGUUCUGCUAUCACUCUUGGAUGGACCUGCGGUGCAUUAGCUAGUUGGUAAGGUAACGGCUUACCAAGGCAAUGAUGCAUAGCCGAGUUGAGAGACUGAUCGGCCACAUUGGGACUGAGACACGGCCCAAACUCCUACGGGAGGCAGCAGUAGGGAAUCUUCCACAAUGGACGAAAGUCUGAUGGAGCAACGCCGCGUGAGUGAAGAAGGGUUUCGGCUCGUAAAGCUCUGUUGGUAGUGAAGAAAGAUAGAGGUAGUAACUGGCCUUUAUUUGACGGUAAUUACUUAGAAAGUCACGGCUAACUACGUGCCAGCAGCCGCGGUAAUACGUAGGUGGCAAGCGUUGUCCGGAUUUAUUGGGCGUAAAGCGAGUGCAGGCGGUUCAAUAAGUCUGAUGUGAAAGCCUUCGGCUCAACCGGAGAAUUGCAUCAGAAACUGUUGAACUUGAGUGCAGAAGAGGAGAGUGGAACUCCAUGUGUAGCGGUGGAAUGCGUAAAUAUAUGGAAGAACACCAGUGGGCGAAGGCGGCUCUCUGGUCUGCAACUGACGCUGAGGCUCGAAAGCAUGGGUAGCGAACAGGAUUA